This 318-nucleotide long non-coding RNA is filed under the name Musa acuminata (dwarf banana). Its description in RNAcentral is "long non-coding RNA (MACU_LNC004585)". Lineage: Eukaryota; Viridiplantae; Streptophyta; Magnoliopsida; Zingiberales; Musaceae. The record is from RNAcentral.
AAGAAAUCUCAAUUUAUAAAAUUUAAAAAAUCAAGAUAAAGCUCAUUUAAAUCAUCAAAUCAAGAUCAAUAGAUUUUCAAAAAUGAAUUGUUAGGAUCAAGAAAAUCCAAAAAUAAAAUUUAACACUUUCAUGCAUUCGGACAUGGUUUUGCUAUAGAUUUUCAAACACAAUCAUGAAGAUAAAACAUGCUCAUGAUCAUGAAAAUUUUUGUAUCCAAAACAUAUAAUUUUCAACAUGUUAUUAAGGUAUGUAAUAGUGUAAAAUUCUCAUUAUAGCAAUUAUAGUGAUUUGAUCAUUGCAUCAAGAAAGUUCGAAAA